This 495-nucleotide unclassified non-coding RNA is filed under the name Hevea brasiliensis (rubber tree). The record is from RNAcentral. Lineage: Eukaryota; Viridiplantae; Streptophyta; Magnoliopsida; Malpighiales; Euphorbiaceae.
AACAUCAUAUUUCCUGAAACAUAUCUGGCAUCUUGAACAUCAAUUUUCACAUGAUCCUUUCCCACAGUAAUCUUCAGAUUAAUUGUGAAGUGCAGCUUGAGCCAUUUCAAAGUUCAGAGAGACACUUCCCAUUGAUGAAAUCAAUUACUUGGGCAACUGCCUCGUCAAGUGCAGCAGUCACUGCUGCCAAAUUCUGCAGGAAUUCCUCUGCGGCUGGCUUCUCACCAUCUACAAUAUCAGUCACUGCUUUUACAAAUAUUGUAGGGACUUUUAAAAGAUCAGCAACAUAAGCAACUGCUGCUCCCUCCAUGUCUUUAACAGAAGCAUCAUUUGCAAUAAUUGUUGCUUCGUCCUGUGGAGACAUGUCCAAAGAGUCUCCAGUAGACAACUUGCCAACCUGAAACAUGAAGAUAUUGCAUAUUAGAAGUUCUAAGUGAUAUUGAAGGCUACAAAUGAAUGAAUCAGAAAAUUUUCCACCACAUCAUAAGAUCAGCA